GGGGGUGAACGGUUUCGACUUCGUGCGAUCGCUUCAGGGGAAGCGGGCCGAGGACCCAGGGUCGUCUCGUUAACGAUCCCUGGAAACCAAUAAGUGCCGAUUCCAAGCGCACUAACUUCGCUCUCGCCGCCUGAGGCGAGCUGACGAAGGGUCAGCCCGGGAGUGCCUUCGGCCCGGGUCCUGAUCUCAUCAAGAGGGCUCACCUGUACGGACUGGCCACUGGGCCGUACGGGGAAAUGAACGGUGGCUGGGCCCGUCGGCGACUUGCCUGUGAGAGCGCCGGGGCCGAGUAGAACGCCUAACAGGAUGCGCCCGGAGAAGCCCUGAAACAUCGACGAAGGACGCGGGUUCGAUUCCCGCCACCUCCACCA
Molecule: non-coding RNA, 371 nt
Organism: Actinopolymorpha singaporensis
Lineage: Bacteria; Bacillati; Actinomycetota; Actinomycetes; Propionibacteriales; Actinopolymorphaceae
Rfam family: transfer-messenger RNA
About the family: Bacterial tmRNA, also known as 10Sa RNA or SsrA, is named for its dual tRNA and mRNA-like properties. Its role is to liberate the mRNA from a stalled ribosome.
Source: Rfam